Hypanus sabinus (Atlantic stingray) is the source of this 2125-nucleotide long non-coding RNA. RefSeq lists it as uncharacterized. The transcript is spliced from 3 exons. Lineage: Eukaryota; Metazoa; Chordata; Chondrichthyes; Myliobatiformes; Dasyatidae. The record is from RefSeq and is a predicted model, not a curated record.
UUGGAAUUCAGUGCUGAGACAGAGACUGGUGAAGUUCUUAACCCGGUCACAGGGUACGUGACAUAUCAAGAGUAAAAUGGAGGAUAAAGUUGAUAUUGGACCACUGAAAAAUGAUGCUGGUGAGGUAGUAAUGGGGGACAAAGAAAUGUUUCUCCACUCCUAGGUAAGGAAUACCCUUAAGGAUUCCGGAGGGCAAGGAGCGGAGUGGCCGGAAUUGAAAAUUGGAGAUUUGGUACUGAUCAGGGAUUGGGAGCAUCCCAAACUUGGACCCCGGUGGAAAUGACCAUUCCAGAUACUACUGCAAACACCGACGGCAGUUAAAGUACAAGGCCAGGAAUGUUGGAUACACCUCAGUGACCAUAAAAGGGCAAUCAACCAUUUAUGGACUCAUUUCUUUAUUGUGUAUUACAAUUGAUUCCUUAGAGGACAACUUGUUUUAUCAAGUACAUAAACAACUGCACAGUAACCAUACUGGUUGUUACCCUUUGGUACUAUCUAUGGAAGCACUGUUUGUAGCUAACCCAUUUGGGCUAACCUGGAAGAGACAUGACCUAAUAGUGGAGGAUAGAUCAGGGGCAGAAUGUAAAGGAAUACCGGGGAAGGUUUUGGAGAGGGACUAGCAUAAAAGGUAUUGAGGGAAUAGGUGAUAAUUAUGCCACAGACCCUGAGUGGUUGGGGACCUUCAAACGGCAUGCAGUGGGGGAUGGGGAAGAGUGGGUACCUAGUCCACGCUGUCGAAGCACCAGGAAAGGGAUGGGGAUGCAUGUUCACCAACAUACUCCAGGAAAUACCUUGCCUGGAGAAACAGUGUUUGUAGGAUAGACAAGGGAAUAUUCUCUUGUGAAUGUAUCAAAAACAAUGCGUGCCCCUCUCUAAGGGAAUUCAGUAUGGAUGUGGGUAUUGUAAUGGGACUCAUGUGUCAGAUGGUUCAGGGACUUUUGAAUACUCCUCCCUGUAUCCUGAGAAGUACUUAUGGUAUGAUAUAAUAGUACUUCGUAAGAAUUCUUGCUAUCGGACUAAGCUCGGAUACUGAUAACUCGAGCCAUGAGUAAGGAAUUCUGUGCUGUCUGGAGGAAUCCUGUAAUCUAUGGGCUCUUCUCUGGGCUAUGGGUUCCUGAGCACUCUCUCUCUAAGGGGCUCGGCAGGAGUCAUAGCUGCAGAGAACCGUAACUACCUCAUUUGUGGGCUAACGGCAUUGGGAAAACAGUACGGUGGAAGGCCUGGAGGCUGUUAACAGGGAAUUGGUGGAGCUACGACUCUACGCAUAGCAAACCAGGUAUGCUGUGGAAUUAUCAGCUGGCCCAGCAGGGAGGGGUCUAUGCCAUAGUCGGAGACAAAUGCAUCACAAUGUAUACAAUGUAAACCCAUGCCAUCCAGUCUAUUAAGAAACAAUUGGAUGAUUUCAGGCAAGGUUCCAAGGAAUGAGAGGGCUGGAUAGGGUGGUUGUUAGGAGGAUCUUGGGGGCUUAUUUACUGCAUGGGUUGAUUGUUCUCAUUGUAAUAAUUAUUGUGUGGUGUUAUAAUGACUUGGCUAAAUGCUGGCUGCAAAAUUUUCAUGGAAAGUCUGUUAAUGCCUUUCUCAAGCCCCAUUUAGUUGGUUAUCAUAACAUGAUAAAAGGGGGGAAUGAUGGUAAAGGGAGAGGUAAAUAGGGGUAUAGAUUAAAAGAGGUUAAAAGACAACGAUUAGCUAAUGAUCAAUUACCUUAUAAGUAGCUUACGUUAGUUGCUGGACAGUCAAAAGGGAACCUUACCCAGCAACAAGUGAAGUACCAGACAUUGUUCCCUAAUAGUGUUAGACAAAGGUCCAAAUAAGGAAUUGUCUGGUCGCACAAAGCAUUUCGAGGUAUAACAUAACUAAAUAGGGGAAGGAUGGCGUGGGGGGUGAUGUAGAACAUUCGAGAGUAGGGGGAGGUGUCAACAUGAGGAACUGAGGUUGUAUCCAGGCUAGCCUUGGCAAAAAAUAAUUAUAACUAACCAAUGAUGAUUUUACAUCUAAUUGUAUCUUAGGAUGUGAUCAAAACUAUUCUAAAACUGUAUUAACUCAUGUAAUUGCAGUAUUUCCUGUAAUGAACAAUGUUAUGAAUUGUGUGGAAUUGUGAUUCGGUGGAGGGUAGCAUCCGGACUGA